This 418-nucleotide non-coding RNA is filed under the name Volvox carteri f. nagariensis. RNAcentral describes it as "Archaeal small subunit ribosomal RNA". It matches the Rfam family "Eukaryotic small subunit ribosomal RNA", at positions 1296 to 1654 of the family's 1831-position model. Lineage: Eukaryota; Viridiplantae; Chlorophyta; Chlorophyceae; Chlamydomonadales; Volvocaceae. The record is from Rfam by way of RNAcentral.
AAAGCGUAGCAUGCAGCAGGGCAUUACACGCAUUUAUCGGUACAUAAACAAAGGACUGACUGCUGUAUAUGUGACUUGACACACCGGGAAAUGUCGGUAGGAUCUGCACACGGUGCGGCACGCACGAGACCUGAGCCUGCUAAAUAGUCAGCAUCGCACCUGCGGUGCGCAGACUUCUUAGAGGGACUAUUGGCGUUCAGCCAAUGGAAGUAUGAGGCGAUAACAGGUCUGUGAUGCCCUUAGAUGUUCUGGGCCGCACGCGCGCUACACUGACGCGACCAACGAGCCUAUCCUUGGCCGAGAGGCCCGGGUAAUCUUGUAAACCGCGUCGUGAUGGGGAUAGAUUAUUGCAAUUAUUAGUCUUCAACGAGGAAUGCCCAGUAAGCGCGAGUCAUCAGCUCGCGUUGAUUAUGUCCCU